UGCAGAUAAAAGAUUUCUUGGCGAAAAUUAAUUCGGCCUUAUCGCGGUAUUAUUAUAGACCUAGCUUCAUUUAAAAAUGGUGCUUUUCUCUUAGAUAUUUAGGGUUUGUUGUCUGCAGUGUUUGGCAAAGAAUGGCACUAAACACGAGUAGUUGGCUACACUUUAAGCCGUCAUUCUAUAAACAUAAAAGUAUUCCUCCAGAGAUAAGUCGACACUUACACCUCUUACCUUCCACUUUAACGUUAGCAAAUAUGCGGGGCCACAUUAUUAAGCGUUUUCGUUUUAUGAAUGAAUGGAUAUUUUGAACGAUCAGAAUAUGAAAAACAAAAGAGAACACGCUAUGAUGGUGCUAAUUUUUUUAAUUUUAAAUAUGUGAUAGGUAUUUUAAAUUAAAAACAAAUUAUCAGAAAAGACCCGCGAAAUUUAAACAUAAUUUCUUUAAAUUGUGUUCCUUAAAUUUACAGAACGAUUUUUAACUAAAGUUAAUGUAUUUUAUCUGUAUUAUUUUGAAAGAUAUUGUUUAUGGUACACUGGCAGAGUUGGGCGAUCUGUUGACGAAAUCUUAGCAAAUUGGCUUUUUCCAACGUUGGGAGAUGGCUGGAAAACAUUUUAUAUGUUUUUUUCCGGAUCAGGAAGCGAAAAACGAAAGAAAUCCCGGAAUUGCAACGAAAGAAUGUAGAAAAGGUAGAUGGUUCCGCGGGGUCGAUAACGGGGUCACGCUAAGAACGGUUUACUACAUCCUUUCCUCCCUCGGGCAUUGUAUUCCUAAAUACGAAAUAUAUGAUUAUUGGCUGUAUAGUCUCUCUUAAAAACAUUUCACUACCAGUUAACAUUAAGUGAAACCUGUAACAUAAAUUUAUCCGUCGAACAACAUUCAACCUGGAAAAAGUCUGUAUCUAGGUAAAAUGUUUAAAUUAAAUCGCUGUUUGCCAAACGCUGCUUUUAUUUUUUUCUUUCUUUCUGUAAGGACACAGAUUGCCCGUGGA
RNAcentral lists this long non-coding RNA (986 nucleotides) under Androctonus crassicauda. The record is from RNAcentral. Lineage: Eukaryota; Metazoa; Arthropoda; Arachnida; Scorpiones; Buthidae.